RNAcentral lists this ribosomal RNA (690 nucleotides) under Bacillus pumilus. Its description in RNAcentral is "bacterial SSU rRNA". It matches the Rfam family "Bacterial small subunit ribosomal RNA", at positions 67 to 734 of the family's 1533-position model. Lineage: Bacteria; Bacillati; Bacillota; Bacilli; Caryophanales; Bacillaceae. The record is from RNAcentral.
CCUCCAGAGGUUUUUGGACUCUUGGUCCCGGAUGUUUGCGGCGGAGGGGUGAGUAACACGUGGGUAACCUGCCUGUAAGACUGGGAUAACUCCGGGAAACCGGAGCUAAUACCGGAUAGUUCCUUGAACCGCAUGGUUCAAGGAUGAAAGACGGUUUCGGCUGUCACUUACAGAUGGACCCGCGGCGCAUUAGCUAGUUGGUGGGGUAAUGGCUCACCAAGGCGACGAUGCGUAGCCGACCUGAGAGGGUGAUCGGCCACACUGGGACUGAGACACGGCCCAGACUCCUACGGGAGGCAGCAGUAGGGAAUCUUCCGCAAUGGACGAAAGUCUGACGGAGCAACGCCGCGUGAGUGAUGAAGGUUUUCGGAUCGUAAAGCUCUGUUGUUAGGGAAGAACAAGUGCGAGAGUAACUGCUCGCACCUUGACGGUACCUAACCAGAAAGCCACGGCUAACUACGUGCCAGCAGCCGCGGUAAUACGUAGGUGGCAAGCGUUGUCCGGAAUUAUUGGGCGUAAAGGGCUCGCAGGCGGUUUCUUAAGUCUGAUGUGAAAGCCCCCGGCUCAACCGGGGAGGGUCAUUGGAAACUGGGAAACUUGAGUGCAGAAGAGGAGAGUGGAAUUCCACGUGUAGCGGUGAAAUGCGUAGAGAUGUGGAGGAACACCAGUGGCGAAGGCGACUCUCUGGUC